CACUGUUAGAAAUCCAAGAGAAGAGAUCCUCUUCCCUUAACACAGAAUGGAAUCAUCAGAGGAAAAAUCUGUUUCUUAAUCAAUUAGUUUCAGCGUUUGUACCUCUCUCUCUUUGGAUCGAUGACAUCCUCUUCUCGAGCAAGGCGUGGUGAGAUCGUGCACCAGCUUGUACAAUACACCUGUCAAUCCAGUACCUAAACCUGAUGGUACCUGACGUUUUACACAAGAUUUAUGACUCUGUGGUCUGUGUGUUCUGGUAUCUGCUGAGUCACCAGAAAUCUGCCAAGACACUGACACUUGCACCUGCUCCACCAUCUGGCACACAAGGGCUUUAAGGUUUUCAGGACCAAGCUGCAAUAUUGCAUGGACACUUAAGUAUUUGAACUUUUGAAGUUUUGAACUUUCUCAAGGCUGUCAUUCUAGACACAAAACGCCCUGCAACUAAACAUGCACUGAUGUCUUUUCUGGGUCAGAAAAUGGAUCCCUGACUGCUCUUUAUAUGACAAGCUUCUCCGUUCUGCAAUCUCUCAUCACGAUCCACUGCAACAUCCUUUGCCCUGGACUGACGCUAUGGUGGUCGCUUAUCACUCCCUCAAAAGCACCCUUCGUUCCGCCCCUGGGGUUACCUGAUCACUUCAAGCCCUUCCACCUCUAUGCCUGUGAACACCAGGGCACAGCC
This is a long non-coding RNA of Neoarius graeffei (lesser salmon catfish), 679 nucleotides long. RefSeq lists it as uncharacterized. The transcript is spliced from 3 exons. Lineage: Eukaryota; Metazoa; Chordata; Actinopteri; Siluriformes; Ariidae. The record is from RefSeq and is a predicted model, not a curated record.